UACGGAGGGAGCUAGCGUUGUUCGGAAUUACUGGGCGUAAAGCGCACGUAGGCGGCUUUGUAAGUUAGAGGUGAAAGCCUGGGGCUCAACUCCGGAAUUGCCUUUAAGACUGCAUCGCUAGAAUUGUGGAGAGGUAAGUGGAAUUCCGAGUGUAGAGGUGAAAUUCGUAGAUAUUCGGAAGAACACCAGUGGCGAAGGCGACUUACUGGACACAUAUUGACGCUGAGGUGCGAAAGCGUGGGGAGCAAACAGG
This 253-nucleotide ribosomal RNA is filed under the name uncultured bacterium. Its description in RNAcentral is "partial 16S ribosomal RNA". It matches the Rfam family "Bacterial small subunit ribosomal RNA", at positions 524 to 776 of the family's 1533-position model. The record is from RNAcentral.